AUGUAUUUUAGGAACCUCGUUUGUUUGCUGCUUGUUGCUUUGCGAUGCGUUCAAAUGCACGUCCAGCUACCUUUUAUUUUGUUUCCUAAUUGUUGUGUACAUGAUGUGCUCGUUUUUGCACGGCUGCACAUCAGGCUCAGAGGCCCUGCCCAGCUUCUACCUUCGCUGGGUAAGCACAUAAAAACCUUCUCAAAAAGGGCAGGGAGAGCUGCUGUCUCCUCAGAGACGGCUGCUGAGAGCCCCUUCAGCCCACACGGGGGAUGGCGGCUCCUCCCCGCCGCUCCUUUUUCCUGCUCUUUCCCCCUCCUCCGCCGUGGCCACUCCAGGGGCUGCAGAGCAACCUCUGCUCCGCUGCCUGGAGCAGCUCCUGCCCUUCCUCCUCCUCCUCUCCCCUGGCUGUCCGUGCAGGGCUGUUCCUCGCAGCGCUCCCCUCACCGCCCCCUGUCGUGCGGUGUUUGCCCUCCCUUCCCCAGGCUGCCCCCGAGGCGAGGCUGCGGGGCCCGGCCGUGCCCUGCGGUGGGGCCGGCAUGGGGCAGCCCCAGCACGCCGCAUGCAGCGGCCCCCAGACCCCGGCCACCGCCCGGGUCCCUGCACCUUGAACGCUCACUGGGACACCAACGUUGGCAUCUACGAGGCAAGAAAUGAGCUACCACAGAAGACAUACUGCUCAGUUUAUGUGAAGAGCUACAGCUAGGGAAGGUAGCUGUUACUGCUCUCUGUGCUCUCAAUGUUUCCUUGUGCCGGAAAGGAGAACACCUAUCUCAGUUACCUGGUUGAGUGUUUGCACACAUUUUCGCCAUGCUCAGCUGGUUCUCUGAGCUUUAUGGUACGUAUUAAAGCUGAAGAGUACUCUCAGCAAGGUUGUGCUAAGCAGAGAGAGACUGAUUACUGGCAGAAUGGCAACAAGUGAAAAACCGUGUACUGUGAGCAUCCAGGAGUCAGCAGUUGGUUGCCUGAGUGUUGGUGUGAGGUGAGCUGUGUGCACGUCCACAGAGCCCAUGGCAGUUCUGCUCCUAAGCCUUUCCUCUAGCAUAAAGCAUGCUUCAGUUAGUGUGUCUAUAAAAGAACUUACUCUUCUUG
RNAcentral lists this long non-coding RNA (1080 nucleotides) under Anas platyrhynchos platyrhynchos (common mallard). RNAcentral describes it as "lncRNA (ENSAPLG00000026609.1)". Lineage: Eukaryota; Metazoa; Chordata; Aves; Anseriformes; Anatidae. The record is from RNAcentral.